UGUAAUGGAAACGCUAUCGAAUUAUUAAUGAAUCCAAGUAGAAUUUCUUCUUCGUGUAGGCUGUGUUCUUUGAACCAGUAGGCUCUUACCGUGAGGUUUGAGAAUAAACCCUAUCUAUCUUUACCAAUUUAUGAUCCAAAUCUUGUCAUCGUACUCAGGUACAUGACAAUUGGUAUCUAGAGCUAUUUCGAUCCAUACCCUAAUCAUGGAUGCAGAAAUGGAUUUAGAGGAAAAGUGGGUGCAAAUGAAUGGAAAAUUGGUACCAAUAAUCAAGUUAGAGAGGUUAGCAAGAGAUGAUUUAGAUGGAUGCAUAAAGUGGUAUAAGUUUUGGAUGGAAAGAAUUAACUCUCCAUCUCAAAAUUCUUGCCUUCGGAGAUGGUCAAAAAAUAUGGACAAGGCGUUGAAGAGAUUGAAAUCGAUCCAGUUUAUUAGAUAUACUUCUCCAUCUCUUCCACCUCCUUUCAGGGUGAAAGAAAUUUCUACAGAUAUUUGUGACUCUUCCGUUGAGUUGAUUCCUUCUUACUUCUUUGAAGAAAUGGUUGAUUCAACAAAUAGUUUGAGUUCUCAAGCUGAAGAAGUUUCAACUGUGGUUAACUCAAUUCCUUCCGCUGUCAACGAAGAGGAAGUUUCUCUCAAUUUAUGGUCAAAUGGAUUCAAAAUCUGGGAAGUAAAUCAGUUCACGAAUGAACUACUGGUGAGAAAUUGCGUCAAAUUUUUUUCAGAACACCGGGAAUAUGUUGACUUUUUGAACGAAUUAUUAUUUCUCCACAGCAAAAUUUUAGGUAUGGCUUAUAUCCACUUCAAACUUGAUGAUUCUCGUUUGUUAUUUGAUCGUGGAAAGUAUUUUGGAACGUUGAUUCUUAGCUCUGGGUUUAAAUCAGAUUAUGGGUUUCUAGAUUCGAUCAUUCAUGUAUUUGCUAAAGAUACUGAGAUUCGAAAUGAUAGUAAAAUGUUUGUUAAAAUGCCUAAGAGAGAAUCUGGGAGUUUGAGCAGUGACAGAGAUGAUUUUGUCUUACAACUUCAUCAAGAUAAGAUGUUUGUUAAAACAUUUCCGUUGGAUACUGUGUGUUUUGAGUACAAAUUUUUUUUCAACCACACAUUGCACACUAGGAAAUCUUCUCAGGGUUGUUUAUGGUCUGCUGAUAAAGUAUUUGAUCGUGGAAAAGAGUUCCAACUUCUCAAGGGGUUAUUUUCUUUUAACUGUGAAUCUGAAGACUAUUUAGAUGCCAUUACUUCUUCUGUGAUUGUUAUUCUUGGGUACUGUUUCGAUUUGCUGUUAGAGUAUUCAAAUAUGACUUUGUUUGUUCAAAAUGGUGAUAGCUAUGAUGAUAGCCAGAUGUUUCAUAACAGGCCUCAACAAAGCAAUGUUCCCUGAACUACUUUGAUAUUUCAAGGGCCAAGGCAAGGUAACCACACUGAAAAAUUUGUUCAUGUGCUUGUUAGUGAGCAUGGGUUUGAAUCAUAUUCUUCCUUUUGUGCUUCGAUUUUCUUGGUGUCUGUUACAACUGGUGAUCGUGGUCGGUUGUUUUCAGAAUCAUCACAAGGACAUAGUACAACACUGCCUACUUAUUUGUCUGCGUGGACGCUCAUGUGUGAGAUUAAGAAUGUUAGUUGUUUCAUCAAAUGCUUGAGAUGUGGGAAGAGGAAAAUUUUAUUUUCCAGCUGAAGUAUGUUUUGCCUAAUGCGAUGUCGAUUCGUCAGUUUGAGGCUUUUGGUGUUGGUUGUAUUCAUAAAGAAGAUUUUAACCCAGCAACUGCAUGUUCUAACCAAGUGAUUAAAGUCUUGACUUCAGCUAGUGAUCGGAAAUUUUCUUGUCAUAUACCACUGUGGAGUUUGACUUGUGGUGCAGGCAAUGUGGUUUUUCCUUCUGCUGCAGUGAUUUUCUAUGGGUUAUUAAUGCUUAUAGCUGCUAGACGAGGAGCUGAUGUUCUACUUGGUGAGUGGUUGGGGGUUUGUGGUGUUUCACAUGGGCAUACAAUUAUGCUACCAUAACCUUUCCAGGAGUUUCCCCUGUUGAAGCUCAUUUUAUCAGUUCCCAGAAGUGUGAGAGUUUUUUCACAAUCCUCGAGAAUCAGUUACUUCUUACCUACACCUAAUAUCUAUAGCAGUGGUAUGAUGCCAGGGGGAAUUCUAAUGGGAACUCCAAUCUUAGUCACGGAGUUUCAGAUUCUAAAAAUGUUAUUGUGGAUGGGGUACUUACGGAGGAAAUUCUGAUUGGUUCCAUCUGGUUUGUGGAGUAUAGCUAGUUAUGAUGUUUUCAAUUGGGUUUUUAUUGCGCUAGCUGGAGCACCUGGUACUAUUUGUUGUGGUCGCUGGUUAUUUGAUAGAGGAAAAAUGCGUAAAUCCAUAUCAGGGGAUUUUCGUUUGAGGAGUUUUUCUGGUGCGGAUGACAGUAUGUUGCAGAUUCAAGUUAGUUUAUUUGCUGCUACAAGGGUCCUUUAUGAUGAAUUGUUGAAGAUUGGUGUUGUUUCCCAUGAACAUACAGAUGUAGCACAAUCUGUUUUCCUUGAAUUUAAACUCAUAUUUAUGCUUCCUUUGCGGAUUUUCACAAUUGUAAGAAUGUUUGUUUAUCCUUUGAGCCGCGACUGUUCAGGUACUUCACAAGAUAAAGGAAUUCUCUAUGUUGGACCAUUACAGGUCAAAGAAAAAAUGAGUAUGAAAUUUCUGAAAUAUAAUCAGAUUGGUAAUUACACCUUGGAUAAUGCUCGUCGAUGCUUGCCUGGUUGCAGUCAGUUGUUAGGUUUCUUAUUUCGAAACAAAGUACGUUACCGAGGAGUGUAAUUCUGUGAAUGGGCAUCAGAAAUCACACUUACUCCCACAAGGAUUGAUGGAGUUGUUUUAGAUGUUUGGAUUAGUUGUUUAUCAUGCAGUGGCAGUUGGUUGUUGGUGGUGGAGAAAGAUGAACUACUUCAGUUGGAUAUUUUAUUGGUGAUAACCAACAGCUCUUGGCGCAACUGAAUAUCUCUACAACUAUUGGCAGCACAGUACAAGGGACAAAGAGGUCAUCAACUCACAUGCUUGCAACUAUACUAGAUACGAUUGUAUGGUCACUGAGAAAUCUAUUCUGCUUGCAACUCACAUGUACUCUAGUUUUGAUGAUAAAAGCGGGCAGACCUACAACAGUCAGCUAAGUUCACUGGUUGAUCUUGAGGCAGUAACUACCAUCAGGUGUGCGCAAAUGCAGUCCGCAAGGGAGUGGGCAAAAUGGUAGGUGGACUUCUGAACCUAGUGUUGGAGUGUUUAGGUACAUGACACAUACGAGCAAGGAUUUUGUUACCAUUAUAAUGUCGUGGGAAGCUGACAAGAAUAAAACUAGUUUGAAGGCCGUGGACGCUUCCACACAAAUCUCAGGGAACACAACCACUGCGUGUUUGGGAUUGGGAAGAUAUUUUAACCCUAAUACUAAAAGACUACACAUGCUUUUUCUUUUUUUUGACUUAAAAGGGUUAACUUCAUCGACAAAAAUCACAAAAAUCACAGGAGAAGAAACGCAUGGGAGAGUCCAAGGGAAGUCAAAGGCCAACGAAAACAACAAAGAAAAUUCCUUUUCGCACAAGAGAAUCACGAACAGGAACGUAGAACAAACAAACUUCUUACUACAGGAGAAAUUAAAGUCAGACCAACUGAUAGGGCAUUGCUCGGUCGAACUCACAAGUGUUGCUAUAUCAAGCUUGUUGUCAAAUUUAUUUUAUUAAAACUAUAUUUUGAUUUCUAGUCUAUAAUUAGUCAAGUCUCGGAUUAGGAUAGAAGUAUAAACUUGAGAAUGGGACAUCACCGCAUUCUAUCGUUUGAAGGUAAAGAUCAACUGAAGUUUUUGGAGAACUUCUUCAACAAGAGUGCUUUUGUAGAAAUUACAAGUGGAUUCGAUCCUCAGAUAAAAAAUGGCUAAAUAGAAGCAGUAUGGCGUUUGGGGCAUAUAUGUUACUCCCUGUGUCAAGAAGACGAAGCUUAAUGGACAGUGGGCCACCAAGUUAACCAUUUAAACUAGCCCACCCACACAUACAUUUCACGGCCAGAAGGUGGUGAUGUUUUGAGAACAGACGGGGACCUGAGCAGCUGCCGUCACCACCAUUUCCAAUGGUGCGAAGAUUAAUUUGUUGACGAGAAAACAGGGCAAGGAAGGAGUUGGAGACUUCAGAUGAAUUGGAAAACCAAUCAACAUCAAGGUUAAAGAUGUCCCUGGAUUUAAUAGCAUCUAUUGUUCUAAUGGCUGAAAUUCGACAAUGGGUUUUGUUCUUGCUGUCCUGAUUUUGAGAAAUUGAUUAAUUGAAUCAAUUAGGUGAAGAAAGGCGUGAAUGAGGAUGGUUUGUUGUGGACUGAAAUGGGUCUAAUUUGAUCUCAAAUGAUUUGAGAUGCAGUCAAUUGAAUGAAGGCUUGAGUAGUUGAAUUGACGGUGUAUGAACCUGAUUGCAGCAGCGGUUAUUCUUUAAGUAACUACAAUAGGUAUGGCAGGUCCGUUGCAGGCAGCAUUUUUGUAUAGGAAAGAACAACAGCAAUGGCAGCUGUUGGUACUGAAUUUAAGGGAUUUCUGGUGGUUGUUUUUGAGAGAUUGAGAAUGGAUACUAGAUGAUGCUGCUACUGCAAUUAAUUGCUCGAAUGAAUGGCAUGAAGUUUUAUUGUUUUAGGGUCCUGGUAUGCUUGGGAAAUUCGUGGUCUUGUGAAUUCGAAAUUGCAGGUGCAACUAAGAUAUAAGAGGAGCUUCAUACAACCAGCUGGAGGCUACCUCUGUACGUACUGAAGUUGCACUGCAGUUGCUCGCAGAAUUGCCUGAAAGAAGAAUUUAGAAAUAGAAAGUGGUGAUGUGGUGCUCACUGGUUGCAUUCGAUGGAGGCCAUUAGCUGACGCAGUAGAUGAUGUAGGAGUUGUGUUAACUGAACUCGUUCUGUUGUGUAUGCCGGUGUUGGUUCGAAUGAAGAUGGAUUUGGCCUGAAAUGAUCUUGAUGCGGUCGUGGUUAAUGGAAAUGGCUACAACAAUGCGGUUGUUUGGAGAUAUUUGUGGUUGUUGAUGCGAACGGAGAAGAAGGCUUGUUUACUGUGAUGGAGCUGCACUAUGGAGUCGUUGUUGCUUACUCGACUGUACGUACAACAAUGAUAUUUAGGAGUUCGAUUCAUUGAAGCAUAUGGACUGAAUAAGAAGAACUGAUGGGGGAAACAAUGGAAUUACGAUGGUCGUGAAUUGUGGCCGACAGUGCAGCUGGAGUUCGUACCUUGUGUAUCGAUGAAGCAAACAAAAGAGUUGUUGUUGCCCGCUGAAUGGAGAGUUGGACGUGACUGAGAAGGUGGCAGUAGCGAGAAUGGAGAUGACAUCGAACUGCCGAUACUCUAAUGGCAGAUGGCUGCAGAAGAAGAAAUUUGUGUUGAUGAACGAGAACAAAGGGAGUUGGUUUAUCUGUCUUGAGCUUGGCAGUAAGGAAUAAGGAUGCAGGAUUGGUUAGACAACAGUUUGAGGAACAAAGGGUUUAUAUGAAAGUUCUCGAUGGAGAAAUAGUCACAGCAACAGGGGAUGAAGAAACGGAGACCUGGCCGGACGAUGAAGGAAAUUCGAUGGGGUGUUGCGCAGUUGAUGGAUAUCAGUCGAUGGCAGGCAAAUAAUUGCCGUGUACACAGCCAAGUUGGUGGCGCUGUUAACAUGGUGAAGUUGGAGGUUAAGAAGAGCUUUUGAUUCCAGGGACGUUUAGAAAGAAAUGGAAGUUUUUGCUCGAUUUGAUUUGGGUUUGGCAGAGACUACACAUGGAGCUGUUGCCGGUGAAUUAUAACUGCAGUUGAGAGAAGAUCGGAGUUGUACUGCUGGUGAUGAUGGCGAUAGUUUGGAUUAUUGAUGCUGUAGCCGGACUUGGAUUAUUGAUGUGUUGGUUGGAUGAUAUGCUGGUUUGUUGUGGGCUGAAUAUGGAAAGUGGUGUCGAGGCCAGAGUUCAGGAAAUCAGUGCGAUAUUGGACUGGGCCUAAGCAUUUUACUAUGUCUUAGUCAGAUUUGUUUGCAAGACUAUAAGAAGAAGGAAAAUUUGCUAUUUGGUCCUAAGUCCAUAUAGUUAUUUAUAGUAGGGUCCCCAGAAUUUUCUUUUGUCCGAAGGUCCAAAAUUAAUUAAAACAUGGAAAUGGUCAUAAUACCCUCGACUACCAAACAUGUGUGUCUACAUGCUCAUUAUAUUGAGUACAUAUCUGCUACAUUGUUUACAAAUUCGAGUACAUAUCUGCUACACUGCUUACAUAAUUUGAGUACAUAUCUACUACACUGCUUACAUAAUUUGGGUACAUAUCUGCUACACUGCUUGCAGGUUAAAUU
Molecule: RNA transcript, 6283 nt
Organism: Papaver somniferum (opium poppy)
Lineage: Eukaryota; Viridiplantae; Streptophyta; Magnoliopsida; Ranunculales; Papaveraceae
Exons: 2
Source: RefSeq, a predicted model, not a curated record